Acanthosepion pharaonis is the source of this 114-nucleotide non-coding RNA. The record is from the annotation of a GenBank genome assembly. NCBI's taxonomy places the organism in Eukaryota, Metazoa, Mollusca, Cephalopoda, Sepiida, Sepiidae.
UUACGGCUACACCACGUGGAAAUACCGAUUCCCGUACGAUUGCAGAAGUUAAGCAACAUCGAGCCUGGUCAUUACUUAGAUAGGUAACCGCUUGAGAAUACCGAGUGCUGUAAG